ACUAACGGGUGGCAGCAGUGGGGAAUAUUGGACAAUGGGCGAAAGCCUGAUCCAGCCAUGCCGCGUGUGUGAAGAAGGCCUUCGGGUUGUAAAGCACUUUCAGUGGGGAAGAAAGCCUUGGGGCUAAUACCCUCGAGGAAGGACAUCACCCACAGAAGAAGCACCGGCUAACUCCGUGCCAGCAGCCGCGGUAAUACGGAGGGUGCGAGCGUUAAUCGGAAUUACUGGGCGUAAAGCGCGCGUAGGCGGUCUGAUAAGCCGGUUGUGAAAGCCCCGGGCUCAACCUGGGAACGGCAUCCGGAACUGUCAGGCUAGAGUGCAGGAGAGGAAGGUAGAAUUCCCGGUGUAGCGGUGAAAUGCGUAGAGAUCGGGAGGAAUACCAGUGGCGAAGGCGGCCUUCUGGACUGACACUGACGCUGAGGUGCGAAAGCGUGGGUAGCAAACAGGAUUAGAUACCCUUGUAGUC
RNAcentral lists this ribosomal RNA (466 nucleotides) under Vreelandella stevensii. Its description in RNAcentral is "partial 16S ribosomal RNA". It matches the Rfam family "Bacterial small subunit ribosomal RNA", at positions 337 to 795 of the family's 1533-position model. Lineage: Bacteria; Pseudomonadati; Pseudomonadota; Gammaproteobacteria; Oceanospirillales; Halomonadaceae. The record is from RNAcentral.